UACGAAGGGUGCAAGCGUUACUCGGAAUUACUGGGCGGAAAGGGCGCGUAGGCGGCUCGUUUAGUCGGGUGUGAAAUCCCGGGGCUCAACCCCGGAACUGCAUUCGAUACUGGCGGGCUAGAGACCGGAAGAGGUGGGUGGAAUACCCAGUGUAGAGGUGAAAUUCGUAGAUAUUGGGUGGAACACCGGUGGCGAAGGCGGCUCACUGGUCCGGUUCUGACGCUGAGGCGCGAAAGCGUGGGGAGCAAACAGG
This 253-nucleotide ribosomal RNA is filed under the name uncultured bacterium. RNAcentral describes it as "partial 16S ribosomal RNA". It matches the Rfam family "Bacterial small subunit ribosomal RNA", at positions 524 to 776 of the family's 1533-position model. The record is from RNAcentral.